AUAUUGAUACUCUUACUUAAUCCUAUUAAUCGCAUAUUUUGCGAGCAGGGAUUUGAAUUUCGGCUUUCUUAUACCUUCGUCUCAGCUCAGGCGCUGUGAUUGGCUACAAACAAUGGAAUCCAAGGCGGCGUUGCUUAGCAACGGAACAGUCAAUCGACGUUAGAAAACCUCCCCGUUGUUUGGUACUUUACAUCAAACUCUGGCGCCCCUUAGUGGCGACUACUGAAAACUACAAGGUAAAACGGUUACCUUGGCAACUGUCUGUGUAUAUCUCACCCUGGCUGCUGGACAUUAUCAAAUAAGUUCACCAGAGCGGCUGUAAAUGUUUUAAUUUGCCCGACAUUGUUUGAAAUAAUCAAGACUGUGGAAAUGGAUACGUCGGUGGUGCUGCCUGUUGAAGCUGAGGGGAUUAUUCGAAGUUUGGAUAUUUUCUCCCUCAAAGAAGUGGGUUCUGCGAGGUGGUUCAGACAACAUGAACAUAUUGAGAGACUAAAUAUGCAGGCCAUACUGAAUGCUUCAGCCAUGCACGAUGAGUUUGUCAAGGAGCUCCUGGUGUCCUUCGGAAAGAUACCUGUUCUGGUCCAUGAGAUGAUCCUUGUGGAGGUGUGGAAGCAGAAAGUGUUCCCAAUCCUAUGCCAGCUGCAAGACUUCAACCCUAAGUGCACCUUUCAUCUUUACAUGCUGAUCCACCAUGAGGCUACAAUCAUCAACCUGCUUGAAACAGUGUUGUUUCAUAAGGAUUCCUGUGAGGCAGCUGGUGAUUCUCUUCUUGACUUGGUGGAUUACUGCCAUCGUAAACUCACUCUGCUGGCCAGUGAGGCAACCAAGGGCCAUGCUGCGGCUCAUGAUCGACAGAACCAGCUAUCCCCUAUAGAGGAGCUGCAGACGCAGAAUACGGCACUGGAGUUUGAAAUCUCUCUUAAAGCUGUAUCUGUUCUGAGCUACAUCGCAGAUCAUUCUGACAGCAUCAGUGUCAUCAAUCGUGUGCUGUGUACGCACAAUAUGCCAUGUGUGCUGGUUCAGCUGAUAGAGUCCUGCCCCUGGAGUCGGAGCGUAAACGGUGGAGUAGAAAAGUACAUUAAUGGCAAAUGGCAGAGGAUUCCUGCUGAGGACCAUUUGAAGAUGACUAAACUUGAUGGCCAGGUCUGGCUGGCUCUGUACAGUUUGAUACUAAAGGAAGAAUGUCAAAGAAAAUACGACUUCAACAAUUUCAACAAGAACCAACUUCUAAAGCUCAGGAGUUUUUUGACAGACGUGCUGAUCGAUCAGCUGCCGAUCCUGCUUGAGCUCCAGCGCUUCCUGGCUCAUCUUGCUGUCACAGACCCGGCUCCACCAAAGAAAGAGCUGAUUCUAGAACAGAUCCCAGAAAUGUGGAGCCAGAUUGUCAGAGACAAUUCUGGGAAGUGGAAAGCGAUAGCAAAAUAUCAGGUCAAAGAAACAUUUAGCCCAUCUGACAGUGACUUACAACAUCAGGCCCAGAGGUUGGCCCAGACAUACAACUUGGAUGUCAUGGAGCGUUUGCUCCCAGAGAAACCAAAGUGUGGAUCCUGUGGUAAAGAGGCCUCAAAGAGAUGCUCUAGAUGCCAGAUAGAGUGGUACUGUAACAGACCAUGCCAGGUGAAGCACUGGCCUAAACACAAGAAGGCCUGCCAGCUGAUGACUGACACUAUGGAGAGGAUCCAGGAGGACAUGCAGAUAGAGAGCCGAGAUAAUCUGCUUUAACCGGAGAAUGAUGAAGAGGAACCAACAUUUCUAGAUAGAAAAAAAAUCUCCAUUCUCCAUUUGCACGAUGCUGAAACAUGACAUUUGUGAUGUAAACCCUGUUGAGAUCUGGAUCUACUUUUCAAGAGCGACAUGGGCAGAGAUCUGCAAUACACUGCAACCUGGUUACAAAAUUAAAA
RNA transcript from Cyprinodon variegatus (sheepshead minnow), 1901 nucleotides. It is a transcript of the gene named zinc finger, MYND-type containing 10, with no coding region annotated. NCBI's taxonomy places the organism in Eukaryota, Metazoa, Chordata, Actinopteri, Cyprinodontiformes, Cyprinodontidae. The transcript is spliced from 13 exons. The record is from RefSeq and is a predicted model, not a curated record.